Molecule: long non-coding RNA, 787 nt
Filed under: Sarcophilus harrisii (Tasmanian devil)
Lineage: Eukaryota; Metazoa; Chordata; Mammalia; Dasyuromorphia; Dasyuridae
Description: lncRNA (ENSSHAG00000027413.1)
Source: RNAcentral
CUUAAAUUUCCUUCCAGCCCUAACAGUUCUCGGAUCCAGCCUGGGAACUCUCCUUCCUUCCCCUUGUUACAACAGCCCCUCCAUCCAAGCAGGUCCUCCCGCUGUCCGAGGGCCUAAAUGCGUUCCUCGGGCCUGGCGCUGCCUCCUCACUCCGCAGAGAGCACAGCCUCGGGCCCCUGGCAGGGGGGCAUCUGCCGGGGCAGCAGCGGCGGGAGGGGCCCCAACCCCGCGGGGAGGAGCGCUCAGCUAAGGCCCGAGUGACGACUGUUCGGGCAGAACCGGCAGAUCAAUCUGGCCCGUCUGGUUCUGAAGAAAGAGGCAUUGAGAGGGCAGCCGAGUCACGCAGCCAUCCUGCAGGAAGGAAGGGCCGCCAAUGUCCCCUUUCCGGGCCUGAGGAGGUCACGGCGCAUCCCGCAGCGGGCUCUGGACCCCCAAGGAGGCGGCAGAACUUGGGGAAAGCCAGAACGACGAGAUCCCGAGAUGGACGGAGCCGCAGACACGGGCCCGGACGCACCUGCGGCGCGAGGAGGGCAGGGGCCGCUCAGACCCCCGUCGCCCCCGUUCCCCCCACGGGCGCCCUCGCCCCCGCCGCCGCUGUCCCCGGGCUCCAUCCUCGGAGCGCCCCCUUCGCCGGGGCCGUCGGAGCAAGGGGCCCGCCAGCUGCUGCUGGCAGGUGGGGGGACUCCCGGGGCGGGCUGGCGCCCCGGGUUCAGCGGGCUGCUUUCCCAGUGGAGGCCUCCCGCAAACCUGCUGCGAUCCCCGAACCCCGAGGGUGCGAGGGGGGGGG